UACGUAGGGCGCAAGCGUUGUCCGGAAUCCUUGGGCGUAAAGAGCUCGUAGGUGGUCUGUUACGUCUGCUGUGAAAACCUAGGGCUUAACCCUGGGCCUGCAGUGGAUACGGGCAGACUAGAGGUAGGUAGGGGAGAAUGGAAUUCCCGGUGUAGCGGUGAAAUGCGCAGAUAUCGGGAGGAACACCGGUGGCGAAGGCGGUUCUCUGGGCCUUACCUGACACUGAGGAGCGAAAGCGUGGGGAGCGAACAGG
This 253-nucleotide ribosomal RNA is filed under the name uncultured bacterium. RNAcentral describes it as "partial 16S ribosomal RNA". It matches the Rfam family "Bacterial small subunit ribosomal RNA", at positions 524 to 776 of the family's 1533-position model. The record is from RNAcentral.